GCCUAAUGAAAAAAGCAGGAAAACUGAAGAAGGAGCUGUCUGGUUUAAGCUACUAUCCACAUUGUGUUGACUUCUGCAGGCUGUAAACAUGACUGUGAAGAAUACAUCUUGCUCUUCUGACUGUGGUCUGUGUUUCGACCAUCCUUCCUAUCCAGUUAGCUCAAAUCUAAACGGCAGUCAGCCUUUUGAGGAGGAGACACCUCUCUAUCAGAUGGGAAAUACUGAAAAAUGC
This is a long non-coding RNA of Falco peregrinus (peregrine falcon), 232 nucleotides long. RefSeq lists it as uncharacterized. The transcript is spliced from 3 exons. Lineage: Eukaryota; Metazoa; Chordata; Aves; Falconiformes; Falconidae. The record is from RefSeq and is a predicted model, not a curated record.